Molecule: ribosomal RNA, 492 nt
Filed under: uncultured bacterium
Lineage: Bacteria
Description: partial 16S ribosomal RNA
Rfam family: Bacterial small subunit ribosomal RNA
Source: RNAcentral
AGUGAACGCUGGCGGUAGGCCUAACACAUGCAAGUCGAACGGCAGCACAGUAAGAGCUUGCUCUUACGGGUGGCGAGUGGCGGACGGGUGAGGAAUACAUCGGAAUCUACUUUUUCGUGGGGGAUAACGUAGGGAAACGUACGCUAAUACCGCAUACGACCUACGGGUGAAAGCAGGGGAUGUUCGGACCUUGCGCGAUUGAAUGAGCCGAUGUCGGAUUAGCUAGUUGGCGGGGUAAAGGCCCACCAAGGCGACGAUCCGUAGCUGGUCUGAGAGGAUGAUCAGCCACACUGGAACUGAGACACGGUCCAGACUCCUACGGGAGGCAGCAGUGGGGAAUAUUGGACAAUGGGCGCAAGCCUGAUCCAGCCAUACCGCGUGGGUGAAGAAGGCCUUCGGGUUGUAAAGCCCUUUUGUUGGGAAAGAAAAGCAGCAGGUUAAUACCCCGCUGUUCUGACGGUACCCAAAGAAUAAGCACCGGCUAACUUCGUG